This 446-nucleotide ribosomal RNA is filed under the name uncultured bacterium. RNAcentral describes it as "bacterial SSU rRNA". It matches the Rfam family "Bacterial small subunit ribosomal RNA", at positions 331 to 794 of the family's 1533-position model. The record is from RNAcentral.
CCAGACUCCUACGGGAGGCAGUAGUGGGGAAUAUUGCACAAUGGGGGAAACCCUGAUGCAGCGACGCCGCGUGAGCGAUGAAGUAUUUCGGUAUGUAAAGCUCUAUCAGCAGGGAAGAAAAUGACGGUACCUGACUAAGAAGCCCCGGCUAACUACGUGCCAGCAGCCGCGGUAAUACGUAGGGGGCAAGCGUUAUCCGGAUUUACUGGGUGUAAAGGGAGCGUAGACGGCAAUGCAAGCCAGAUGUGAAAGCCCGGGGCUCAACCCCGGGACUGCAUUUGGAACUGUGUAGCUGGAGUGCCGGAGAGGCAGGCGGAAUUCCUAGUGUAGCGGUGAAAUGCGUAGAUAUUAGGAGGAACACCAGUGGCGAAGGCGGCCUGCUGGACGAUGACUGACGUUGAGGCUCGAAAGCGUGGGGAGCAAACAGGAUUAGAUACCCGCGUACU